UACGUAGGGUGCGAGCGUUGUCCGGAAUUACUGGGCGUAAAGAGCUCGUAGGUGGUUUGUCGCGUUGUCCGUGAAAACUCACAACUCAAUUGUGGGCGUGCGGGCGAAACGGGCAGACUGGAGUACUGCAGGGGAGACUGGAAUUCCUGGUGUAGCGGUGGAAUGCGCAGAUAUCAGGAGGAACACCGGUGGCGAAGGCGGGUCUCUGGGCAGUAACUGACGCUGAGGAGCGAAAGCGUGGGGAGCGAACAGG
RNAcentral lists this ribosomal RNA (253 nucleotides) under uncultured bacterium. RNAcentral describes it as "partial 16S ribosomal RNA". It matches the Rfam family "Bacterial small subunit ribosomal RNA", at positions 524 to 776 of the family's 1533-position model. The record is from RNAcentral.